UACGUAGGUGGCAAGCGUUGUCCGGAUUUACUGGGCGUAAAGAGCGCGCAGGCGGUCGUUCAAGUCGCGUGUGAAAGCCCCCGGCUCAACUGGGGAGGGUCACGCGAUACUGAUCGACUCGAAGGCAGGAGAGGGUAGUGGAAUUCCCGGUGUAGUGGUGUAAUGCGUAGAUAUCGGGAGGAACACCAGUGGCGAAGGCGACUACCUGGCCUGUUCUUGACGCUGAGGCGCGAAAGCUAGGGGAGCAAACGGG
RNAcentral lists this ribosomal RNA (253 nucleotides) under uncultured bacterium. Its description in RNAcentral is "partial 16S ribosomal RNA". It matches the Rfam family "Bacterial small subunit ribosomal RNA", at positions 524 to 776 of the family's 1533-position model. The record is from RNAcentral.